Molecule: ribosomal RNA, 442 nt
Filed under: uncultured bacterium
Lineage: Bacteria
Description: partial 16S ribosomal RNA
Rfam family: Bacterial small subunit ribosomal RNA
Source: RNAcentral
CCUACGGGGGGCAGCAGUGGGGAAUAUUGGACAAUGGGCGCAAGCCUGACCCAGCAACGCCGCGUGAAGGAAGAAGGCUUUCGGGUUGUAAACUUCUUUUGUCAGGGAAGAGUAGAAGACGGUACCUGACGAAUAAGCCACGGCUAACUACGUGCCAGCAGCCGCGGUAAUACGUAGGUGGCAAGCGUUGUCCGGAUUUACUGGGUGUAAAGGGCGUGUAGCCGGGUUGACAAGUCAGAUGGGAAAUCCUGCGGCUUAACCGCAGAACUGCAUUUGAAACUGUUGAUCUUGAGUACUGGAGAGGCAGACGGAAGUCCUAGUGUAGCGGUGAAAUGCGUAGAUAUUAGGAGGAACACCAGUGGCGAAGGCGGUCUGCUGGACAGCAACUGACGGUGAGGCGCGAAAGCGUGGGGAGCAAACAGGAUUAGAUACCCUUGUAGUC